AGAGCGGCACGCUCGCCCUGCCACCGCCAUGUGGGGCGUUCAGCGGGGCUCCCGGCUGCUGGCCACCGCGCUGCGGACCCCGCGGGUCCCCCGGGCGCAGAUCGCCUCCAAGCCACCCGAACAUCCACUCUCUGCUGCUGAGCAAGCCAUUGCGUUUUGCGUGAUGACCACGUGCUUCCUGGCCCCAGCGGCCUGGAUCCUGGCCCACGUGGAGCACUACAAGAGCAGGUCGGAUUAGGACGUGACAAGAACCACCUGCACCCUGCUGAGAGGAGGAGUACGCAGGAAGAUCAGGCCACAGAACAGAUCUUCACCAGGAAGGAGCCCUCUGAGUUUGUUCAUUAAAAUUCACAUUAGCAUUCAGCGUAA
Molecule: long non-coding RNA, 369 nt
Organism: Grus americana (Whooping crane)
Lineage: Eukaryota; Metazoa; Chordata; Aves; Gruiformes; Gruidae
Exons: 2
Source: RefSeq, a predicted model, not a curated record